This 337-nucleotide ribosomal RNA is filed under the name uncultured bacterium. RNAcentral's name for it is "bacterial SSU rRNA". It matches the Rfam family "Bacterial small subunit ribosomal RNA", at positions 43 to 366 of the family's 1533-position model. The record is from RNAcentral.
GAAUUCACUAGUGAUUCAGGCCUAACACAUGCAACUCGAGCGGUAGAGAGAAGCUUGCUUCUCUUGAGAAAAAAGGACGGGUGAGUAAUGCCUAGGAAUCUGCCUAGUAGUGGGGGAUAACGUUCGGAAACGGACGCUAAUACCGCAUACGUCCUACGGGAGAAAGCAGGGGACCUUCGGGCCUUGCGCUAUCAGAUGAGCCUAGGUCGGAUUAGCUAGUUGGUGAGGUAAUGGCUCACCAAGGCGACGAUCCGUAACUGGUCUGAGAGGAUGAUCAGUCACACUGGAACUGAGACACGGUCCAGACUCCUACGGGAGGCAGCAGUGGGGAAUAUUG